AGAAUCAACGCUGGCGGCGUGCCUAACACAUGCAAGUCGAACGAGAAAGUGGAGCAAUCCAUGAGUAAAGUGGCGCACGGGUGAGUAACACGUGACUAACCUACCCUUGAGUGGGGGAUAACCUAGGGAAACCUGGGCUAAUACCGCAUAAUAUCGAGAGAUCAAAGGAGCAAUUCGCUUAAGGAGGGGGUCGCGGCUGAUUAGCUAGUUGGUGAGGUAAUGGCUCACCAAGGCUAUGAUCAGUA
This 245-nucleotide ribosomal RNA is filed under the name uncultured bacterium. Its description in RNAcentral is "partial small subunit ribosomal RNA". It matches the Rfam family "Bacterial small subunit ribosomal RNA", at positions 26 to 285 of the family's 1533-position model. The record is from RNAcentral.